Long non-coding RNA from Homo sapiens (human), 1052 nucleotides. Ensembl annotates it as DENND3 antisense RNA 1. Its record names the gene DENND3-AS1. NCBI's taxonomy places the organism in Eukaryota, Metazoa, Chordata, Mammalia, Primates, Hominidae. The record is from Ensembl.
UACAGGCAUGAGCCACCACACCCAGCCUUGGUGGCCUCAUUUUUAGCAGCCUCUGCAAAGCACACAGCCUGAAUCCGUCACCUAGAGUCCCCAGCAUGCAGGAGAGGCGCUCUCAACCCGGGCUGGAGCCAUGAGCCACUCCCUGAGGGCACACAGGGCCUGAGUCUGGCUCCUGUGUGUUGCUGUGUGACAGGUGAGCUCAACAGCCCUAAGCCGUGACUUCCUGAGGGGCAGUGGUCAAGAUCCAAGGGAGGUAAACACAUGGCAGCUCUUGCCACCAGGACCCAGUAAGGCUCACGCGAGAGCAGGUCUCUGCUGUCCCUUUAUCACCAAGAGGCCAAAUGCUUUAAGGAAGAGAGCUCCAGCAGUGCACAGAGCUUGCAAUCCACUCCUUUAUGCCCCCUUUUCCUCCUCCUUAAAACCAGAUAAUUGGGCCAGAUGACCUCUGAGGGGCUCCCAGUUCUGCACUUUUUAAUACGCUCCCGUCUCUCAUGCCACAGGUCCUUCCAAAGUGCCUACGGAAAGCUUUGUCCCAUCCUUGAAAAAUUGCUAAUGGGUUUGGAGAUACGAGGUGGAGAUGACUAGCAAUCAAACUCAAAGGUGGAAGUCACAUCGAGGCAGAUGAGCAGAUGAGGGGACCUAGAGAAGAAGAGAGGUGCAAGGAGAGCCCAGCCAGCAGGAACAUCUGCCCCAGUAGGCAGCACUGCCCCACAUCAGAGUCGAGGAAAGCAAAGCUCGGAUUGGAUAAAAGAAACUUGCAAACACGGAUGAAGGGAAAAGCUUCAUGACAUUGGAUUUGGCAGUGAUUCCUUGGAUAUGACCCCAAAAGCACAGAUAACGAAAGAAAAAAUAGUUAAAUUGUCUUCAUCAAAAUUAAAACUUUUGUACAUCAAAGAACUCUUUCAAAAGAGUGAAAAAGUCACAGAAUAAGAGAAAAUCAUAUACCUGAUAAAGAAUUAAUAUUCAGAGCCAGAUGCAGUGGCUCAUGCCUGUAAUCCCAGCACUUUGGGAGGCCAAGGCAGGCAGAUCACUUGAGAUCAGGAGUUCGAGAC